Arabidopsis thaliana (thale cress) is the source of this 317-nucleotide long non-coding RNA. RefSeq annotates it as other RNA. NCBI's taxonomy places the organism in Eukaryota, Viridiplantae, Streptophyta, Magnoliopsida, Brassicales, Brassicaceae. The record is from RefSeq. The transcript has a single exon.
AUCUCACAUCGUUGAAGGUCGACCUUUGAAGUCAUCGCGAAUCUCUAAUGUCUCGAAGAAAUUCGCUGCGGGCAACUCGAAUCUGUCGAGCAAGUUAACGACAGAAGAUCAUUCUUUGGAUGCAUUUCGGCCUACCAACCCUGGGAACAGUCCAGGAAUUGGUCACUAGCAUGUGUGUUGUGGUGACAAACUAAGAUAAGAUGCAAUGGUUAUGUACUUAUGUUCUUAGACAUUUUCUUAUGACAAAGUAAGAUGUUGUUGUGGGUGCGUUCGACGUGUAUUAUCUAGGGUUUCUGUGUUUUUCGUAAUUGUUUGUA